AGCAGCCGCGGUAAUUCCAGCUCCAAUAGCGUAUAUUAAAGUUGUUGCAGUUAAAAAGCUCGUAGUUGAAUUUCGGGAUCAAGGGAUCGGUCAUGCCUUGGUAUGUACUGGUCUUAUUGGUUCUCACCUUCUAAAGAACCAUGAUGUCAUUCAUUUGAUGUUAUGGGGAAUUAGGACUGUUACCUUGAAAAAUUAGAGUGUUUAAAGCAAGCUUACGCUUGAAUACAUUAGCAUGGAAUAAUGAAAUAGGACAUCAGAUUCUAUUUUGUUGGUUUCUAGGAUCGAUGUAAUGAUUAAUAGGGAUAGUUGGGGGCAUUAGUAUUCAAUUGUCAGAGGUGAAAUUCUUGGAUUUAUUGAAGACUAACUACUGCGAAAGCAUUUGCCAAGGAUGUUUUCAUUAAUCAAGAACGAAAGUUAGGGGAUCGAAGACGAUCAGAUACCGUCGUAGUCUUAACCAUAAACUAUGCCGACUAGGGAUCGGAUGAUGUUAAUUUUUAAUGA
RNAcentral lists this ribosomal RNA (501 nucleotides) under uncultured Glomus. Its description in RNAcentral is "SSU rRNA". It matches the Rfam family "Eukaryotic small subunit ribosomal RNA", at positions 569 to 1074 of the family's 1831-position model. Lineage: Eukaryota; Fungi; Glomeromycota; Glomeromycetes; Glomerales; Glomeraceae. The record is from RNAcentral.